UGGGGAAUAUUGCACAAUGGGCGCAAGCCUGAUGCAGCAACGCCGCGUGAACGAUGAAGGUCUUCGGAUCGUAAAGUUCUGUUGCAGGGGAAGAUAAUGACGGUACCCUGUGAGGAAGCCCCGGCUAACUACGUGCCAGCAGCCGCGGUAAUACGUAGGGGGCUAGCGUUAUCCGGAGUUACUGGGCGUAAAGGGUGCGUAGGUGGUCUUUCUAGUCGGUGGUUAAAGGCUACGGCUCAACCGUAGUUAGCCUCCGAAACUGGAAGACUUGAGUGCAGGCGAGGAAAGUGGAAUUCCCAGUGUGGCGGUGAAAUGCGUGGAUAUUGGGAGGAACACCAGUAGCGAAGGCGGCUUUCUGGACUGCAACUGACACUGAGGCACGAAAGCGUGGGUAGCAAACAGG
RNAcentral lists this ribosomal RNA (403 nucleotides) under Verrucomicrobiota bacterium. Its description in RNAcentral is "Verrucomicrobia bacterium partial 16S ribosomal RNA". It matches the Rfam family "Bacterial small subunit ribosomal RNA", at positions 355 to 776 of the family's 1533-position model. Lineage: Bacteria; Pseudomonadati; Verrucomicrobiota. The record is from RNAcentral.